Molecule: ribosomal RNA, 456 nt
Filed under: uncultured bacterium
Lineage: Bacteria
Description: bacterial SSU rRNA
Rfam family: Bacterial small subunit ribosomal RNA
Source: RNAcentral
UACGGGAGGCAGCAGGGGGGAAUAUUGCACAAUGGGCGCAAGCCUGAUGCAGCCAUGCCGCGUGUAUGAAGAAGGCCUUCGGGUUGUAAAGUACUUUCAGUCGUGAGGAAGGUGUUAAGGUUAAUAACCUUAGCAAUUGACGUUAGCGACAGAAGAAGCACCGGCUAACUCCGUGCCAGCAGCCGCGGUAAUACGGAGGGUGCGAGCGUUAAUCGGAAUUACUGGGCGUAAAGGGCACGCAGGCGGUUAAUUAAGUUGGAUGUGAAAUCCCCGGGCUUAACCUGGGAAUGGCAUUCAAGACUGGUUAGCUAGAGUCUUGUAGAGGGGGUAGAAUUCCAUGUGUAGCGGUGAAAUGCGUAGAGAUGUGGAGGAAUACCGGUGGCGAAGGCGGCCCCUGGACAAAGACUGACGCUCAUGUGCGAAAGCGUGGGGAGCAAACAGGGAUUAGAUACCCGU